This is a long non-coding RNA of Bubalus bubalis (water buffalo), 5326 nucleotides long. RefSeq lists it as uncharacterized. NCBI's taxonomy places the organism in Eukaryota, Metazoa, Chordata, Mammalia, Artiodactyla, Bovidae. The record is from RefSeq and is a predicted model, not a curated record. The transcript is spliced from 2 exons.
UCAUGCCCUGUUCCAUUAUCUCCAUCUCUGUCUCUCUCCUCCUCCACCCUCCUCUUCUCUCCCCCUCAUCUUAGUUCCUCUGCCUCUCUCAUGCUAGGCCUUUCUGUCUGGGUACUCCUGGGGGGUUGUGAAUAAGUAAACAUUCAGAUGUCUACAACUGCAAUCACACACUGUUGCACAAACAUGUGUGCACAUCCAGCAAUGUCUAAAUGCCCCCAAAUGCACAGCCCUAAUAGGCAGAUACCCUUAUACAAUGCAAAACCACACAUAUGCCACAAAUGGUCUCAUACACACUAUAUCAUUGGGAUGGACACCCGGAUUAUUUAGGAACAGAUAGACAUACUGGAAGAAAACAUGCAAAGACACUCUGUCAUUAGUUUUGUUGUAAACAAGAACAACAAUACAACAACAGUAAGUCUUUAUGGAGCAGAAGCAGGUUAUUAGGCAACCCCUCCAGGCAUCCUUCUCACCCUUUACUUAUCAGGGAGACACUCAAACAUGACACUCUGAUAAACACAGUACACAAACAAACACACAUACACUCAUCUUGAAACAAAUCUCCCAGCUCCCUGCCCAUAAAAUGCACAGCUACGCAAUCAAAUGGCUACAGAUAUGACCAAAAUCUAUGUUGUGAAAUGGACUUCCAUGUUAUAGUAGGAAGAAUAACGAUCCCCCCAGAGAUGCCCAUGUUCUAAUUCCUGUGAACAUGUUACCUUAUGUGGCAGAGGGGAAUUAAGCUUGCAGAUGGAAUUAAGGUUGCUAAUCAGUUGAGUUUUAAGUCAUAAGAUUAUUCUAGAUUAUUCAAGGUCCUUAAAAGUGGAGGACAGGGCCUUCCCUGGCAGUCCAGUGAUUAAGGCUCCACACUUGCACUGCUGGGAAUGCGGGUUGGACACCUGGUCAGGGAACUAAGAAUUGGUAUGCAUUGUGGUGUGGCCAAAAAAGGUGGAGGACAGAAGCAGAAGAGGACGAUCUUCCUCUUUGGAUUAAAGAGUCAGGAGAGUACUCAGCCUGACACUGCUGGCUUUGAAGACUGAGGAUGGGGAGCCGUGAGCAAAGGAAGUAGGUGGCCACGAGACACCGGAGAAGGCAAGGAGAUGGAUUCCAGAUGGAGUCCAGCACUCUGACACCCUGUAAGACCCAUUUUAGGCUUCUGAACUACAGAACUAUAAGAUAACAAAUGUGUGUUGUUUCACAGAUUUCAAACAAAAGUUCGUGAUAAUUUGUCUUUAAAUUUAAUUAAAUUAAUUUACUUUUUGGUUGCACUCAGUCUUUGUUGCUGCGUGCCAGCUUUCUCUAGUUGCUGGUGAGCAGGGGUUACUCUCUUAUUGUAGAGCAUGGGCUCUAGAUCACAUGAGCUUCAGUGGUUCAGUAGUUUCACCGCCAGGAAAUGUCUCACUUUUCAAGACUUUAUCCCUUCCUUGCUAGAAUCUCCAACAACUCUAUACUUGAUCCUCUAAUUCUCCCUUGGUUUAUUCUAUUUUCAGAGAAGCGGUUGGACAGAGCUGAUUUUUGGUGUGUUGGCUUGGCUUGCUCUAGUUGACCAUGACUGCAUCCUGCCUCUUGGUUAGCACCACAUCUUCUUAAUACAGGUGUCUCCUACAUAACUCUACCUACCCCUUACCAACUCCAUCCAGGAUAUCUGCUUGUGAUGCCGCCAAAUGUUGUAGUUAGACACCCGUGCGUGGCAGUGAAGAUGCUAGAGGUGGGAAGGCCUUGCAUAAUUCUCUCAUUUCUUUUCCACCUCUUCCUUUUUUUCUUCUUUUGUUUAUUUUUCAGUCUAUCUCUUCCCAUGUCAGUACAUCCUAUCUUUUUUUUUUUUUUAUUGCUUUGCUAGGCAAAAGGAGACCCACCAGCUUCUGCCUUGAAAAACUAUGUAUCUCCAACAUCCCCAUGUUAUUAAAGAGCCUACAAGUCUUUAGGAGCCUUGGAGGGGAAGAGGCAGGUAUGAAAAGGUGUUUGGGAGACUGAUGACAAGCCAGCCAUGGCCCCUGCCCUUAGGAAGUAUGAUAAGUCAUCCUAUUUUCUGGAUGGCAACCCACUCCAGUAUUCUUGCCUGGACAAUCCCACGGACAGAGGAAACUUGUGGGCUACAGUGGGGGUUACAAGAGUCGGGGUCACAAGAGUCGGACACAACUGAGUGACUUUCACUUCACUUCACUAUUUCCUGGACAGAAUCAGAGACUCAACCAGUGAGAUGUGUGGAGUGUUGGAAGCAAGAAAUGAAAAGGUUUCUCAUGCAUCUGUGGGCCACAGUUUCCCAGUGGACCUGGCAAACCAUUUAGCCUCACUUCCCUGGACCCAGGAAGGGAUGAGGCUGGGAAGAGGGAGAAGAACUUGGACUGAAGCGGCUAAGGAGGCAUAAUUCUCUAGAAGAUGGAAAACUAACUGAUCUAAAUCUCUCAUUUUGUACAUGUUUGAGGGGGAGGGGAACUGUGCUGUGUGGCAUAUGGGAUCUUAGUUCCCUGACCAGGGAUCGAACUGGUGUCCCCUGCUUGGAAGAUGGAUUCUUAACCACUAGACUGCUAGGGAAGUCUUAAUCCCUCAUUUUGAACUGAGAAAUCUGAGACCUCUGCUCCUUCUGACUAAACUAGGUAAGAACCUGCAGAAACUGAAGGAACACACACAUCCUAUUUGGAAACAGUGGGGUAUUCAAGAUUUGAUUCAAGUCUUGUUCUUUUUGUGACUAUAAAGCAGGAACAACCAUACUUAUCUCAAAAAUUGUUUUAAGGAUCAAAGGAAAUAAUUUAUAUUAAUGUAUUCAUCAAAAGGCUAUUAAGCACCUACUGUGGCCAGGUACUGGUGGGAAGUGGGGACUCAGCAGAGAAUAAAGCAGAUAGGAAUCUGCCCCCAUGGGAAUUACAUUCUAAUGGGGAAAACAGACACAUACCAAAUAAGUGAAAAGUAUGAUAGGUAUCAUAAAACAACAUAAAGCUUGGAAGGAAGAUAGAGGUGUUAGAUAGAGUGAGUAGGGUUAUAACUGCACUAAAUAAUACUCAAGCAAGGAUUUGAAAUGGAUGAAAGAAUGAACCAAUUGCUUAUCUGGAGGGAGCAUGGUCCAGACUGAGGGAAAAUCAGGGGCAAAAGCCUAUGAUAUGUGAGAUUUAGCAUGAAGGCCAUGUGGCUGGGGCAGACAGAGCAGUGGGGAGAGUGGUAGGUAGGCAGAGAGGUGAUGGGCUGACUAUGUGUGGUCUUGAGGCCACUGUGAGGACUUUCUUUGGUACUGAGUGAGGUGAGCCUAGUAAGGAAUGAAGGUGAUGAGAAGGGGCUGACUUCUGGAUGUGAGCUGAUGGAGAGCUGAUAAGGUUGCUGCUGAGUUGCAUUUGGGGUAUGAGAGCAAAACAGGAGUCAGGAAUCUCCAAGAGAUUUGGCUUAAGUACCUUGGGAGGAUGGAACUGCCCUGGACAGAGGUAGGGAAGACUGUGAGGGGCCAGUUUGGGUGCAAAGUCAGGAGUUAAAUGGUGGGCAUGUAAAGCUGAGCUGCCUAUCAGAUAUUCAGUUGCUUCAGGGUGUUUUUUUGUCUUGUUUUAAUUUUUUAUUUAUGGCUGCACUGGGUCUUCAUUGCUGCAUGGGCUUUCUCUACUUGUAGUGAGCAGUGGGAGGGGGACUCUUCGUUGUGGUGCUCAGGCGUCUCAUUGUGGUGGCUUCUCUCAUUGCAGAGCACAGGCUCUAGGCAAGCGGCCUUCAGUAAUUGGGUCACAUGGGCCCAGUUGCCCCGUGGCAUGUGGAAUCUUCCCAAAACAGGGAACCCUUGUCCCCUGCAUUGGCAGGCAAAUUCUCAACCACUUGACCACCAGGGAAGUCCCCAAUUGCUUUGUGAACUGUGCAAUGUCCAUAGAAAUAAUCAAUAAUCAAUCUAUAAUAAAAAUAGAAGAGUUUUUAUUUGAGCCAGAUUGAGGACUACAGUCUGGGAAAUACAGACUCAAAAGCGUGGAUGACAAAUGGCAGAGGCUUAUAAAGGCAAAACCUCUAAGGUCACACAAGAUAUUUGUCAAGAAUUAGGAUUGAAGCUGGCAAGAAGGAUUGGUUGGGGUCCAAAAUGGUUGCAUAGUUGCAAGGGGAGACCUUCAGACCACAAGGUUAUACCUAACAGCUGCUAGCAGAUACUAUUUUGAAAAUGGCUGGUGUCCUUGACAUUGAUCCAGUUCAGAAAAUUCGAGUUCUUAGUAAUGCGGGAACCUCUUCGAAACAACAGCCAUAUUGGCCACCUGGUUCCAUUUUGAAUGCUUGAACCACAAUUACUCCAUUUUGUUUUUUAGAUACAUUCUUUUCUUUAAUGGUUAAAGCAGAUGCAUGCUCUACAGGUUGUAAGACUGGGUGUUCUAGUUAACAUGAGCUCAAGCAAAUCAUGCAUAAGCCAGAAUGACUUCCCCAUACCUCAACAAGGCCCAGGUAAGCGUAUGACAUUAUGAGCAGUAACAGCACCAAAAAGAAUAGUUCAUGGUUAUAUAGAAAUUUAUAAUCUUCAAAGCUUCUUAUUAUUUUUAUUUUUAAAAUUUCACUAACCACUCCAGGGGCGUUCGUAACAGUCAGCCACAGGGAAGAAACCAAGGCCCAGGCUUGCUUGCCCAAGGUCAAAGAUUGCAGAAGGCAGAGUCAGGGAGGGCUGGGUUCAAGUGCUUCUUCUCUCAACCUGACUCCUGACUCCCAGGGACAGAGAUACAAAGGGAGACACAAUGAGAGUCAGAGACAGGGACAGUGAGUCAGAGAGACCAAGUCAGAAACAUGAAAGCAAGCGUGAGGCAGAGCAGGGGCACCCUUGAGGGAAACAGUAAUACAGAGAAUGACCUAGAAAAGCCUAAUGAGCUGGAGAGCAGUUGAGAUGAGCCCCACGUGCCUCUCAGGUCUUGGUCCACAUGACAGACUCUCCCUCCCUCCCUUCCUUCUUCCCAGGUGAGGUGUCACCAAAACAUCGCUGGCAUGUUGCUGGCAUCCGGCCUGCCAAUUAGCUCGGGAGCCUCUCCCUUUGACUUCCUCCGGAGCUUCAGAUGUGCGCCUACUUCCUCCCUUACCCCCACACUCUCCUCCAGCCCAGUCCUGCCCUGCCCUGCAUCUUUGGGAGGCAAACUGGCUUCGAGGGACCUGCGGUCUCUGCGGCUCCCCACAGGAGUCAAGCCCCUCCCGGCGCAGAGCGUGGCAUCGCGCAUCCUUUUAUCUGCCACCUCUGUGCACCUUUGCGAGCGUCAACCGGCCACGCCCGGCGCCCCCGCCCCCAGGGGUGGUGUGUGUGGCCGAGAGGACAGGGAGGGGCUUCAAGGAAGUGGAGGAAAAGGCCCUCCACCAAGGCUCCUGGGAUGGCUCCGCGGAAGCUGUGAAGAUUCUUCUACAC